This 1130-nucleotide long non-coding RNA is filed under the name Homo sapiens (human). RNAcentral describes it as "HSALNT0393387". The record is from RNAcentral. Lineage: Eukaryota; Metazoa; Chordata; Mammalia; Primates; Hominidae.
AUCUGAACGGAUUUAGGUGAUUUCCCAACAAAUAGCCAGGAGUAGCUCAAAGCGACUGCCUCUCCGUCUUUGGUCGUUGAGCUUAAAAUUAGAGCUCGUUUGGAAAGAAACUUCUAAAGUAUCUGCCUCGACUAUGUAUCUUCUUGGAUGAUCUCGAUUUAACAAUUUUCUUUCUACAAAAUAUACCAUCUGCAGAAACCAAAACAGUACAUCAUGAUUUUGUGAAUGUGUAUCUUCAUAGUGAAAACCGUAUUUGAAUACUUGCCACCAUGAUUUGCUUAAGGAAGAAAUCCACUGGAAAAGUUUACACAGCAAAGGUGUGUGUCUGCGUGUGUGUGUGUGUGUGUGUGCAUGCCUGUGCAUGUGCUCAUUUUAAAAAUCAGAUAUGACUUGUCCUUUAACUUUAGUUGGCAGAGACAGAAAAGUGCAAAUUCAGUAAAUAAUUGACUUACACAAUAUGUGACAAUAAAUACUCUAAUUUUCUGUGACAUCUAAAAGUUAUAAUUCUUUACUCAGUAGAAGACAGCUAUCAGGUGCUAAAAUAAAAAAAAGAUACCUAACCCAAUAAAGGCAAAAUCUUAGUUAUAUUAACCAGCAAGGUACAUAUUACAUUAUUAUUACUAGACCAUGCCUCCAAGUGUGUCAAAUUAUAAAAAUGUGUUCAGCAUACAUAAAAUAUACAUUAAAGAUUUCUCUCAUCAUAGGCACAAUCUAAUACAAAAAUAUAUUUGACAUUUAUAAGUUAGAAGAUCCAUUGAGAGCCUCCAAAAUAGGACAGGGGAAGGAAUGAGUGAUGACAACAUAAAAAAAGAAGCACACAUAGAUGCAAAUAGUUCCACUUAUAUGAUUAUUUUCUUCAUCAGCAAAGGGUUAAGAGCAGUUUACACCAAACCAAGUUACCAAGCAGAUCACAAUCAGUUCACAGGUUGGAUAAGUCACGGCACGCAGGCCAGAAAAUGUACUCAGACUUCAGUCAACCUAAUGGGACAGUGUACUCACACUGUGGUUUUGUUGUUUUGGAGUCUAGAAGCUCCAUCUACCCAUUCUCCAUGGUCUACCACCAUGUUAACACAGAUUUACCACAGGCGCCAUCUGUACCAAGCCUAGGAUAGACUCUUUAAAAAAAAAAA